RNAcentral lists this ribosomal RNA (497 nucleotides) under uncultured bacterium. RNAcentral describes it as "partial 16S ribosomal RNA". It matches the Rfam family "Bacterial small subunit ribosomal RNA", at positions 28 to 507 of the family's 1533-position model. The record is from RNAcentral.
GAUGAACGCUGGCGGCGUGCCUAAUACAUGCAAGUCGAGCGAACAGACGAGGAGCUUGCUCCUCUGACGUUAGCGGCGGACGGGUGAGUAACACGUGGAUAACCUACCUAUAAGACUGGGAUAACUUCGGGAAACCGGAGCUAAUACCGGAUAAUAUAUCGAACCGCAUGGUUCAAUAGUGAAAGACGGUUUUGCUGUCACUUAUAGAUGGAUCCGCGCCGCAUUAGCUAGUUGGUAAGGUAACGGCUUACCAAGGCAACGAUGCGUAGCCGACCUGAGAGGGUGAUCGGCCACACUGGAACUGAGACACGGUCCAGACUCCGACGGGAGGCAGCAGUAGGGAAUCUUCCGCAAUGGGCGAAAGCUUGACGGAGCAACGCCGCGGGAGUGAUGAAGGUCUUCGGAUCGUAAAACUCUGUUAUUAGGGAAGAACAAAUGUGUAAGUAACUAUGCACGUCUUGACGGUACCUAAUCAGAAAGCCACGGCUAACUACGUG